This 591-nucleotide ribosomal RNA is filed under the name uncultured bacterium. RNAcentral describes it as "partial 16S ribosomal RNA". It matches the Rfam family "Bacterial small subunit ribosomal RNA", at positions 355 to 1375 of the family's 1533-position model. The record is from RNAcentral.
UGGGGAAUUUUGGACAAUGGGCGAAAGCCUGAUCCAGCAAUGCCGCGUGUGUGAAGAAGGCCUUCGGGUUGUAAAGCACUUUUGUCCGGAAAGAAAUCCUUGGCUCUAAUACAGUCGGGGGAUGACGGUACCGGAAGAAUAAGCACCGGCUAACUACGUGCCAGCAGCCGCGGUAAUACGUAGGGUGCAAGCGUUAAUCGGAAUUACUGGGCGUAAAGCGUGCGCAGGCGGUUUGCUAAGACCGAUGUGAAAUCCCCGGGCUCAACCUGGGAACUGCAUUGGUGACUGGCAGGCUAGAGUAUGGCAGAGGGGGGUAGAAUUCCACGUGUAGCAGUGAAAUGCGUAGAGAUGUGGAGGAAUACCGAUGGCGAAGGCAGCCCCCCUGGGCCAAUACUGACGCUCAUGCACGAAAAGCGUGGGGAGCAAAACAGGAUUAGAUACCCCUGGUAGUCCACGCCCUAAAACGAUGUCAACUAGUUGUUGGGGAUUCAUUUCCUUAGUAACGUAGCUAACGCGUGAAGUUGACCGCCUGGGGGAGUACGGUCGCAAGAUUAAAACUCAAAUGAAUUGACGGGGUCAUAGCUGUUUCCU